AAAUUCCAAUCGAACCUGGAGAUAGCUGGUUCUCUCCGAAAUAGCUUUAGGGCUAGCCUCAAGUGAUGAUUAUUGGAGGUAGAGCACUGUUUGGACGAGGGGCCCCUCUCGGGUUACCGAAUUCAGACAAACUCCGAAUGCCAAUUAAUUUAACUUGGGAGUCAGAACAUGGGUGAUAAGGUCCGUGUUCGAAAGGGAAACAGCCCAGACCACCAGCUAAGGUCCCAAAAUAUAUGUUAAGUGGAAAAGGAUGUGGCGUUGCCCAGACAACUAGGAUGUUGGCUUAGAAGCAGCCAUCAUUUAAAGAGUGCGUAAUAGCUCACUAGUCGAGUGACACUGCGCCGAAAAUGUACCGGGGCUAAACAUAUUACCGAAGCUGUGGAUUGUCCUUUGGACAAUGGUAGGAGAGCGUUCUAAGGGCGUUGAAGCAUGAUCGUAAGGACAUGUGGAGCGCUUAGAAGUGAGAAUGCCGGUGUGAGUAGCGAAAGACGGGUGAGAAUCCCGUCCACCGAUUGACUAAGGUUUCCAGAGGAAGGCUCGUCCGCUCUGGGUUAGUCGGGUCCUAAGCUGAGGCCGACAGGCGUAGGCGAUGGAUAACAGGUUGAUAUUCCUGUACCACCUAUAAUCGUUUUAAUCGAUGGGGGGACGCAGUAGGAUAGGCGAAGCGUGCGAUUGGAUUGCACGUCUAAGCAGUAAGGCUGAGUAUUAGGCAAAUCCGGUACUCGUUAAGGCUGAGCUGUGAUGGGGAGAAGACAUUGUGUCUUCGAGUCGUUGAUUUCACACUGCCGAGAAAAGCCUCUAGAUAGAAAAUAGGUGCCCGUACCGCAAACCGACACAGGUAGUCAAGAUGAGAAUUCUAAGGUGAGCGAGCGAACUCUCGUUAAGGAACUCGGCAAAAUGACCCCGUAACUUCGGGAGAAGGGGUGCUCUUUAGGGUUAACGCCCAGAAGAGCCGCAGUGAAUAGGCCCAAGCGACUGUUUAUCAAAAACACAGGUCUCUGCUAAACCGUAAGGUGAUGUAUAGGGGCUGACGCCUGCCCGGUGCUGGAAGGUUAAGAGGAGUGGUUAGCUUCUGCGAAGCUACGAAUCGAAGCCCCAGUAAACGGCGGCCGUAACUAUAACGGUCCUAAGGUAGCGAAAUUCCUUGUCGGGUAAGUUCCGACCCGCACGAAAGGCGUAACGAUUUGGGCACUGUCUCAACGAGAGACUCGGUGAAAUCAUAGUACCUGUGAAGAUGCAGGUUACCCGCGACAGGACGGAAAGACCCCGUGGAGCUUUACUGUAGCCUGAUAUUGAAAUUCGGCACAGCUUGUACAGGAUAGGUAGGAGCCUUUGAAACGUGAGCGCUAGCUUACGUGGAGGCGCUGGUGGGAUACUACCCUAGCUGUGUUGGCUUUCUAACCCGCACCACUUAUCGUGGUGGGAGACAGUGUCAGGCGGGCAGUUUGACUGGGGCGGUCGCCUCCUAAAAGGUAACGGAGGCGCUCAAAGGUUCCCUCAGAAUGGUUGGAAAUCAUUCAUAGAGUGUAAAGGCAUAAGGGAGCUUGACUGCGAGACCUACAAGUCGAGCAGGGUCGAAAGACGGACUUAGUGAUCCGGUGGUUCCGCAUGGAAGGGCCAUCGCUCAACGGAUAAAAGCUACCCCGGGGAUAACAGGCUUAUCUCCCCCAAGAGUUCACAUCGACGGGGAGGUUUGGCACCUCGAUGUCGGCUCAUCGCAUCCUGGGGCUGUAGUCGGUCCCAAGGGUUGGGCUGUUCGCCCAUUAAAGCGGUACGCGAGCUGGGUUCAGAACGUCGUGAGACAGUUCGGUCCCUAUCCGUCGUGGGCGUAGGAAAUUUGAGAGGAGCUGUCCUUAGUACGAGAGGACCGGGAUGGACAUACCUCUGGUGUACCAGUUGUCGUGCCAACGGCAUAGCUGGGUAGCUAUGUGUGGACGGGAUAAGUGCUGAAAGCAUCUAAGCAUGAAGCCCCCCUCAAGAUGAGAUUUCCCAACUUCGGUUAUAAGAUCCCUCAAAGAUGAUGAGGUUAAUAGGUUCGAGGUGGAAGUAUGGUGACAUGUGGAGCUGACGAAUACUAAUCGAUCGAAGACUUAAUCAA
RNAcentral lists this ribosomal RNA (2098 nucleotides) under Staphylococcus aureus M1213. Its description in RNAcentral is "bacterial LSU rRNA". It matches the Rfam family "Bacterial large subunit ribosomal RNA", at positions 824 to 2925 of the family's 2925-position model. Lineage: Bacteria; Bacillati; Bacillota; Bacilli; Caryophanales; Staphylococcaceae. The record is from RNAcentral.